RNAcentral lists this long non-coding RNA (412 nucleotides) under Bos taurus (domestic cattle). Its description in RNAcentral is "long non-coding RNA NONBTAT007058". Lineage: Eukaryota; Metazoa; Chordata; Mammalia; Artiodactyla; Bovidae. The record is from RNAcentral.
GCUCUUCUGUAUAUCAAAGAGAAAGGUGACGGUUGAGCUGGGUUUUGAAGAAUCAGCAAGUUUGGGAGUAAAAGAGAAGGAUUAAUGAUAGCUUGAAUGAAAAAAGAAGAUAAAAUGAAGGCUGUUUGAUGAUGAUUUUAGAUUGUGGGAUGGUGGGAGCCAACAGAAGGCAAAGAUUAGAGGUCGAAAGAUGAGAGUAGUUGGGAGAGCAGUGUCCAACAAGACUCACGAGAGAGUGAAAUUAGGAGUCCUGGUGGAAGGAGAGCUUGUGGGGUUACGAAUUAUCUUCUGAGACUGGAAGGGGAAAGAGAGAGUAUUUUAUUCUGAAAAACUCCUUGGGAUAACUAGUUUCUUUAUGCCUACUUUUUAAGAACAAUGCUUGAAGGAAAUCUUUUUGUUUUCGAGGCAAUAU